RNAcentral lists this non-coding RNA (27 nucleotides) under Cricetulus griseus (Chinese hamster). The record is from RNAcentral. Lineage: Eukaryota; Metazoa; Chordata; Mammalia; Rodentia; Cricetidae.
ACUGGAGGCAGAUGAAUUAGAACAACA